Transfer RNA from Anaerobium acetethylicum, 73 nucleotides. It matches the Rfam family "tRNA". Rfam says of the family: Transfer RNA (tRNA) molecules are approximately 80 nucleotides in length. The record is from Rfam. NCBI's taxonomy places the organism in Bacteria, Bacillati, Bacillota, Clostridia, Lachnospirales, Lachnospiraceae.
UCCUUGAUAGCUCAGUCGGUAGAGCACGCGGCUGUUAACCGCGGUGUCGUAGGUUCAAGUCCUACUCAGGGAG